CCUACGGGAGGCAGCAGUAGGGAAUCUUCCACAAUGGGCGAAAGCCUGAUGCAGCAACGCCGCGUGGGUGAAGAAGGUCUUCGGAUCGUAAAACCCUGUUGUUAGAGAAGUAAGUGCGUGAGAGUAACUGUUCACGUUUCGACGGUAUCUAACCAGAUAGCCACGGCUCACUACGUGCCAGCAGCCGCGGUAAUACGUAGGUGGCAAGCGUUAUCCGGAUUGAUUGGGCGUAAAGGGAACGCAGGCGGUCUUUUAAGUCUGAGGUGAAAGCCUUCGGCUUAACCGGAGUAGUGCAUUGGAAACUGGGAGGCUGGAGUGCAGAAGAGGAGAGUGGAACGCCAUGUGUAGCGGUGAAAUGCGUAGAUAUAUGGAAGAACACCAGUGGCGAAGGCGGCUCUCUGGGCUGUAACUGACGCUGAGGUUCGAAAGCGUGGGUAGCAAACAGGAUUAGAUACCCUAGUAGUC
Molecule: ribosomal RNA, 465 nt
Filed under: uncultured bacterium
Lineage: Bacteria
Description: partial 16S ribosomal RNA
Rfam family: Bacterial small subunit ribosomal RNA
Source: RNAcentral